Molecule: ribosomal RNA, 492 nt
Filed under: uncultured bacterium
Lineage: Bacteria
Description: partial 16S ribosomal RNA
Rfam family: Bacterial small subunit ribosomal RNA
Source: RNAcentral
AGUGAACGCUGGCGGUAGGCCUAACACAUGCAAGUCGAACGGCAGCACAGUAAGAGCUUGCUCUUACGGGUGGCGAGUGGCGGACGGGUGAGGAAUACAUCGGAAUCUACCUUUUCGUGGGGGAUAACGUAGGGAAACUUACGCUAAUACCGCAUACGACCUACGGGUGAAAGCAGGGGAUCUUCGGACCUUGCGCGAUUGAAUGAGCCGAUGUCGGAUUAGCUAGUUGGCGGGGUAAAGGCCCACCAAGGCGACGAUCCGUAGCUGGUCUGAGAGGAUGAUCAGCCACACUGGAACUGAGACACGGUCCAGACUCCUACGGGCGGCAGCAGUGGGGAAUAUUGGACAAUGGGCGCAAGCCUGCUCCAGCCAUACCGCGUGGGUGAAGAAGGCCUUCGGGUUGUAAAGCCCUUUUGUUGGGAAAGAAAAGCAGCAGGUUAAUCCCCCGCUGUUCUGACGGUACCCAAAGAAUAAGCACCGGCUAACUUCGUG